This 247-nucleotide ribosomal RNA is filed under the name uncultured cyanobacterium. Its description in RNAcentral is "partial 16S ribosomal RNA". It matches the Rfam family "Bacterial small subunit ribosomal RNA", at positions 1288 to 1533 of the family's 1533-position model. The record is from RNAcentral. Lineage: Bacteria; Bacillati; Cyanobacteriota.
UCAGUUCAGAUCGUAGGCUGCAACUCGCCUACGUGAAGGAGGAAUCGCUAGUAAUCGCAGGUCAGCAUACUGCGGUGAAUACGUUCCCGGGCCUUGUACACACCGCCCGUCACACCAUGGAAGUUGGCCACGCCCGAAGUCGCUACUCCAACCCUCUGGGAGGAGGACGCCGAAGGUGGGGCUGAUGACUGGGGUGAAGUCGUAACAAGGUAGCCGUACCGGAAGGUGCGGCUGGAUCACCUCCUAA